Molecule: unclassified non-coding RNA, 238 nt
Filed under: uncultured Hyaloscypha
Lineage: Eukaryota; Fungi; Ascomycota; Leotiomycetes; Helotiales; Hyaloscyphaceae
Description: partial contains 5.8S ribosomal RNA, internal transcribed spacer 2, and large subunit ribosomal RNA
Rfam family: 5.8S ribosomal RNA (bases 1-52)
Source: RNAcentral
AACGCACAUUGCGCCCCUUGGUAUUCCGAGGGGCAUGCCUGUUCGAGCGUCAUUAUAACCACUCAAGCCUGGCUUGGUGUUGGGGUUCGCGGUCCCGCGGCCCUUAAAAUCAGUGGCGGCGCCAUCUGGCUCUAAGCGUAGUAAUCUUUCUCGCUACAGGGUCCCGGUGGAUGCUUGCCAGCAACCCCCCAUUUCUUAGGUUGACCUCGGAUCAGGUAGGGAUACCCGCUGAACUUAA